This 820-nucleotide ribosomal RNA is filed under the name Plectosphaerella cucumerina. RNAcentral describes it as "LSU rRNA". It matches the Rfam family "Eukaryotic large subunit ribosomal RNA", at positions 111 to 953 of the family's 3401-position model. The record is from RNAcentral. Lineage: Eukaryota; Fungi; Ascomycota; Sordariomycetes; Glomerellales; Plectosphaerellaceae.
AAAUUUGAAAUCUGGCUCCUUCGGGGUCCGAGUUGUAAUUUGCAGAGGAUGCGUCGGGUACGGGUGCCUUCCGAGUUCCCUGGAACGGGACGCCAUAGAGGGUGAGAGCCCCGUCUGGUAGGACACCCAGCCCGUGUGACGCUCCCUCGACGAGUCGAGUAGUUUGGGAAUGCUGCUCUAACGGGAGGUAUACUCCUUCCAAGGCUAAAUACCGGCUGGAGACCGAUAGCGCACAAGUAGAGUGAUCGAAAGAUGAAAAGCACUUUGAAAAGAGAGUCAAACAGCACGUGAAAUUGUUAAAAGGGAAGCGCUCGCUACCAGACUUGGGUUCGGCGGUUCAACCGGGGCCACGCCCCGGGGCAUUCCGCCGGCCCAGGCCAGCAUCAGCUUUCCGUCGGGGGUAAAGGCGUCGGGAAUGUGGCUCCCCUUCGGGGGAGUGUUAUAGCCCGUCGUGUCAUACCCUUCGGGGGGCUGAGGUACGCGCUUCUGCAAGGAUGCUGGCGUAAUGGUAGCUAGUGACCCGUCUUGAAACACGGACCAAGGAGUCAACCUUAUGUGCGAGUGCCCGGGCGUAAAACCCCAGCGCGGAAUGGAAAGUGAACGUAGGGUGAGAGCUUCGGCGCAUCACCGACCGAUCCUGAUGUCCUCGGACGGAUUUGAGUGAGAGCAUAUAGGGUUGGACCCGAAAGAAGAUGAACUAUGCGUGUGUAGGGUGAAGCCAGAGGAAACUCUGGUGGAGGCUCGCAGCGGUUCUGACGUGCAAAUCGAUCGUCAAACAUGCGCAUGGGGGCGAAAGACUAAUCGAAUCUUCUGGUAGCUG